UACGGAGGUUGCAAGCGUUGUUCGGAAUGACUGGGCAUAAAGGGAGCGCAGGCGGCCAAGUCAGUCUGAAGUGAAAGCACGGGGCUUAACCCCGGAAUAGCUUUGGAUAUUGCCUGGCUUGAGUGUGCGAUAGGAAAGCGGAAUUCCAGGUGUAGCGGUGAAAUGCGCAGAUAUCAGGAGGAACACCGAUGGCGAAGGCAGGUCUCUGGGCCACUACUGACGCUGAGAAGCGAAAGCAUGGGGAGCGAACA
This 251-nucleotide ribosomal RNA is filed under the name uncultured prokaryote. Its description in RNAcentral is "partial 16S ribosomal RNA". It matches the Rfam family "Bacterial small subunit ribosomal RNA", at positions 524 to 774 of the family's 1533-position model. The record is from RNAcentral.